RNAcentral lists this long non-coding RNA (4818 nucleotides) under Xyrichtys novacula (pearly razorfish). Lineage: Eukaryota; Metazoa; Chordata; Actinopteri; Labriformes; Labridae. The record is from RNAcentral.
GGCGCUUACGUUCUUCCUGCAACAUGAGAAGGGAGGGAGGGACUCUCAGCAGGGAUGCAGUCUGGGACACGUAGUUGCAAACCUAGCGACUUUGUUGUUAGAUUCAAUGACUUUUCAGACCCCCUAACGACUUUUUUUUAGAAAGAAAGGGACUUUUAUCGACUUCUUCUGGAGUUUAGAGACUCUGACAUGAAGCAGGCUUUCCUUACUGAGGAGUUAGCAACGCUGCUAAGGGUGCAGAGCCACACAUGCGCUCAGAGCUCUGCAUGGGAGACUGAAGCUGACAGAGCUGCAGCAGUUAGCAGGUUUCACCCUCAGAGACCACCAGGGGUUCAUGUUGAGGCAUUUUCAGUUUUUUUUUUUUGUGCCAUAGACACUGUCAGCACAAUCUGCAGUUACACUAACAAAAAUGCUGCAAAAAACAAAGAAUUAUGGAAAAAUUACACAUGGACUGACAUAGAGGAGGAUCUACACAAGUUUUUUACAUCAUGUUUUACAUCAUGCAUCAUUUACAUCAUGUUUUUUUGUAGUGGCAUGAAUAAAAAGUGACAUUUGUGAGACUAUACAGUGUUUUGUAAAUAAUUUUACAAAGAACGCCUGGGCCAUUGCCUGCAUUUUGAUGUAAAUAGAGGUAAAUUACUAUGUUCUUUGUUAAAAAUUUGCAUAUGUUUUGAAGUUUACAAUUUUUAUUUGAAGUUUAAGUUUUAAAAACAGUUCAUCACACAUAUUUGUGGUUUAAUUUCACAUUAAUUUCCAUAUUGUAUAAAUGACUGGAAAAAACUUGAGCCCCUGCCCCUGUAUAAUCAUGUGCACGUCCCUGUUCUAGCUCCAAGGUGAAUCUUCACUGCUCAUGUUCUCCUCAGAAAUAGUCACCUCACUCCCCUCAGGUUACUGUACACAUGCACCAACUAUCUGCUUCAGGUUUGAAAUGGAGCUUCAUGGUUGUCUUUUGGAGAAAUGAACAGUCAAGUUGUGUUUGAAAUUUGAUUUUUUUCAGGGGCAAAAGGAAGCCUCUGCAUUCUUGUCAAAUAUGUAAACAGCAUGUUUUUGCAGGUGCUAAAAAACAGACUCUGAGUGUGUGUGUGUGUCUGUGUGUGUGUGUGUCUGUGUGUGUGUGUAUGUUGGCGUGUGUGUAUAUGUGUGUGUAUCCUGCAGUACUCUGUACUCCUGCAGUGGCCAAAAAAACCUUUUAAGAAUGUGGAUUUUUGGGUCAUCUUUGGCGCCCCCUAGAACUGCAGUACUCUGUACUCCUGCAGUGGCCAAAAUGACUUUUAAGAAUGUGGAUUUUUGGGUCAUCUUUGGCGCCCCCUAGAACGUAAACCGUGGGGUGCAGCGUCAUGAUUUUUACAACUUUGAAUGGGCAUGGGGUGUAGAUUGCCCUGAGCAAAUUUGGUAUCGGUGGGACGAAAGCCUUAGGAGGAGAUAGCCACAUUCCAAUGUGUGCGAAUCGGCAAAAAAUGCAAAAUAGCCCUUUAACCGUACAUUAUAAAGAUACGCGCUCUUUGACUUUUUCGUAGAUCUAAUUGAGAUACACAUGAUUGUCAAUUUUUGUGUCAAUAUGACAAAGCGUUCAGGUGUGACACUCAACAAUGUGUAUUUUCAUGUAAGGGGACAAGAAAAAAUGGACUUUUUUCUCCUACCAUGGGGGGGCGCUCUUUUGGGGAGUAAAAAUUCCUUCACAAAUGUGUUGAUGGCUGGACAUUGCAUCAUCCUAGAAAACUUGGAGGCCAGUGAGGACAAAAAUAAAAAGUUAUAAAACAUUUAAGAAUGUGGAUUUUUGGGUUAUUUUUGGCGCCCCCUAGAACCUAAACCAUGGGGUGCAGCGUCAUGAUUUGAAUAACUUUUAAUGGCCAUGGGGUGUAGAUUGGCCUGAGCAAAUGUGGUGCCGGUGGAACGAAAGCCUUCGGAGGAGUUAGCGAAAUUCCAAUGUGUGCGUAUCGGCAAAAAAUGCGGAAUAACCCUUUAACUGUACAUUUGACAGAUACGCGCGCAUGGACUUUUUUGUAGAUCUUAUUGAGUUACAUGUGUGUGUCAAUUUUUGUGUCAUUUUGACAAAGCGUAUAGGCGUGACACUCAAGAAUGUGUAUUUUCACCUUAGGGGACAAGAAAAAAUGGACUUUUUUCUCCUGCCAUGGGGGGGCGCUCUUUUGGGGAGUAAAAAUUCCUUCACAAAUGUGUUGAUGGCUGGACAUUGCAUCAUCCUAGAAAACUUGGAGGCCAGUAAGGACAAAAAUAAAAAGUUAUAAGACUUUUAAAUAUGUGGAUUUUAGUGUUAUCUUUGGCGCCCCCUAGAACCUAAACCUUGGGGUGCAGCGUCAUGAUUUUGAUAACUUUUAAUGGCCACGGGGUGUAGAUUGGCCUGAGCAAAUGUGGUGCCGGUGGAACGAAAGCCUUCGGAGGAGUUAGCGAAAUUCCAAUGUGUGCGGAUCGGCAAAAAAUGCGAAAUAACCCUUUGACCGUACAUUUGACAGAUACGGCCGCACUGACUUUUUUGUAGAUCUUAUUGAGAUACAUAUGUGUGUCAAUUUUUGUGUCAAUAUGACAAAGCGUACAGGCGUGACAGUCAAUAGUGUGAAUUUCCACCUUAGGGGGCGCUAUGGAGCCAUUUUGCAUUUUAUUGUUUGGGCGACUUCAGAAUAUCGAAUUUUUCACCAGGCCCGGUCGUCCUGCCAAAUUUCAUGAGUUUUCGCCAGUGGGAAGUGGGCCAUUUUCCAGUUCAAAGGGGAGGAAAAAGAAGAAACUAGGGCCCCGUUGGGGCACUGGCGGGCCCGAGCCGUGUCGCGCCCCCCCCCCCAACGCGCUGCCUCCCCGUCCCAUUCGCAUCCUCUGGCCAUCGACCUCUCUGGUAACGCCCAUCACUGCAAAGACCCUUUUCCUUCAUCGGCGUUUGCUGUUCUUCCUGCCAGUGCGUGUUGCUUUCACUUACACUUGCCACAGCCAGCCUCGUGAGUGCCUAGCCUAUUGGAUAUCACUGUCAUCUACACAGGACAGUCCUUACCUUUCUAUUAAUACUUUGUUUUUUAAUUUCACAUUAAUUUCCAUAUUGUAUAAAGGACUGGAAAAGACUUGAGCCCCUGCCCCUGUAUAAUCAUGUGCACGUCCCUGUUCUGGCUCUAAGGUGAAUCUUCACUGCUCAUGUUCUCCUCAGAAGCAGUCACCUCACUCCCCUCAGGUUACUGUACACACGCAGCAACUGCAUGCUUCAGGUUUAGAUAGCGCUUCAUGGUUGUCUUUUGGAGAAAUGAGCAGUCAAGUUGUGUUUGAAAUUUGAUUUUUUUCAGGGGCAAAAGGAGCCUCUGCAUUCUUGUCAAAUAUGUAAAUAGCAUGUUUUUGCAGGUGCUAAAAACCAGACUCUGAGUGUGUGUGUGUGUGUGUGUGUGUGUGUGUGUGCGUGUGUGUGUGUCUGUGUGUGCGUUCAAGUCACAUGACAUAUUUAACCGGAUGUAGCUGCAAGACGGAGCCUCGUUGACUCUCCGUUUCAACUUAUCUCAAAAGUGAGGACCUCAACCUAUAUACCAGUUUUUAAAUUGUGUUGAUAGGCCAAAUAAAACCAGAGUUAUGAUAAAUUAUGUCCGCGAUACUUUUUUUCUGCUUAUUUUGAUCACGUUCGGCGCUCGAUCGCGCUGUAUGAGACAGGAAAACAUAGCAUGCAGACAUUAGCGACAGGUCUUACAGGCGGAAAAGGCUUGCCAAAAGAAAAAAAAAACACACCACAACAUCUCUCCUAUUGGUGGAAAACUUCACCACAACAACCAAUCCAAAAUUAUAUGGUGACUGAUUGACAAGGGGCGGGCGCUUAUGUUCUUCCUGCAAUAUGAGAAGGGAGGGAGGGACUCUCAGCAGGGAUGCAGUCUGGGACACGUAGUUGCAAACCUAGCGACUUUGUUGUUAGAUUCAAUGACUUUUCAGACCCCCUAACGACUUUUUUAGAAAGAAAGUGACUUUUAUCGACUUCUUCUGGAGUUUAGAGACUCUGACAUGAAGCAGGCUUUCCUUACUGAGGAGUUAGCAACGCUGCUAAGGGUGCAGAGCCACACAUGCGCUCCGAGCUCUGCAUGGGAGACUGAAGCUGACAGAGCUGCAGCAGUUAGCAGGUUUCACCCUCAGAGACCACCAGGGGUUCAUGUUGAGGCAUUUUCAGUUUUUUUUUUUUUUUUUGCCAUAGACACUGUCAGCACAAUCUGUAGUUACACUCACAAAAAUGCUGCAAAAAACAAAGAAUUAUGGAAAAAUUACACAUGGACUGACAUAGAGGAGGAUCUACACAAGUUUUUUACAUCAUGUUUUACAUCAUGCAUCAUUUACAUCAUGUUUUUUUGUAGUGGCAUAAAUAAAAAGUGACAUUUGUGAGACUAUACAGUGUUUUGUAAAUAAUUUUACAAAGAACGCCUGGGCCAUUGCCUGCAUUUUGAUGUAAAUAGAGGUAAAUUACUAUGUUCUUUGUUAAAAAUUUGCAUAUGUUUUGAAGUUUACAAUUUUUAUUUGAAGUUUAAGUUUUAAAAACAGUUCAUCACACAUAUUUGUGGUUUAAUUUCACAUUAAUUUCCACAUUGUAUAAAUGACUGGAAAAAACUUGAGCCCCUGCCCCUGUAUAAUCAUGUGCACGUCCCUGUUCUAGCUCCAAGGUGAAUCUUCACUGCUCAUGUUCUCCUCAGAAAUAGUCACCUCACUCCCCUCAGGUUACUGUACACAUGCACCAACUAUCUGCUUCAGGUUUGAAAUGGAGCUUCAUGGUUGUCUUUUGGAGAAAUGAACAGUCAAGUUGUGUUUGAAAUUUGAUUUUUUUCAGGGGCAAUAGGAAGCCUCUGCAUUCUUGUC